Molecule: ribosomal RNA, 1388 nt
Filed under: metagenome
Description: bacterial SSU rRNA
Rfam family: Bacterial small subunit ribosomal RNA
Source: RNAcentral
AGAGUUUGAUCCUGGCUCAGGAUGAACGCUAGCGACAGGCCUAACACAUGCAAGUCGAGGGGCAGCAUUUCUAGCUUGCUAGAAGAUGGCGACCGGCGCACGGGUGGGUAACGCGUAUGCAACCUACCUUAUACUGGGGGAUAGCCCAGAGAAAUCUGGAUUAAUACCGCAUAAAAUGUUUGAAUCGCAUGGUCUAAAUAUUAAAACUCCGGUGGUAUAAGAUGGGCAUGCGUAGCAUUAGUUAGUUGGUGAGGUAACGGCUCACCAAGACGAUGAUGCUUAGGGGGUCUGAGAGGAUAGUCCCCCACACUGGUACUGAGACACGGACCAGACUCCUACGGGAGGCAGCAGUGAGGAAUAUUGGUCAAUGGACGCAAGUCUGAACCAGCCAUGUCGCGUGCAGGAUGACGGCCCUAUGGGUUGUAAACUGCUUUUUUACAGGAAUAAUUGUCGCUACGUGUAGUGAUUUGAAUGUACUGUAAGAAUAAGGAUCGGCUAACUCCGUGCCAGCAGCCGCGGUAAUACGGAGGAUUCGAGCGUUAUCCGGAUUUAUUGGGUUUAAAGGGUCCGUAGGCGGUUCUUUAAGUCAGUGGUGAAAUCCCAGAGCUCAACUCUGGAACUGCCAUUGAAACUGAAGAACUUGAAUAUGGUUGAGGUAGGCGGAAUACGUUAUGUAGCGGUGAAAUGCAUAGAUAUAACGUAGAACACCAAUUGCGAAGGCAGCUUACUAAACCAUUAUUGACGCUGAUGGACGAAAGCGUGGGGAGCGAACAGGAUUAGAUACCCUGGUAGUCCACGCCGUAAACGAUGAUUACUCGUUGAGCACAAUACAUCGUGCGUGACUGAGCGAAAGCAUUAAGUAAUCCACCUGGGGAGUACGUUCGCAAGAAUGAAACUCAAAGGAAUUGACGGGGGCCCGCACAAGCGGAGGAACAUGUGGUUUAAUUCGAUGAUACGCGAGAAACCUUACCUGGACUUAAAUGUAGAUUGACCGGUUUAGAAAUAGAUCUUUCCUUCGGGACAAUUUACAAGGUGCUGCAUGGUUGUCGUCAGCUCGUGCCGUGAGGUGUCGGGUUAAGUCCCAUAACGAGCGCAACCCCUAUCGUUAGUUGCUAGCAGGUAAUGCUGAGGACUCUAAUGAGACUGCCACCGUAAGGUGAGAGGAAGGUGGGGAUGACGUCAAAUCAGCACGGCCCUUACGUCCAGGGCUACACACGUGUUACAAUGGCCAGUACAAAGGGCAGCUACCUGGUGACAGGAUGCUAAUCUCAAAAGCUGGUCUCAGUUCGGAUCGGAGUCUGCAACUCGACUCCGUGAAGUUGGAUUCGCUAGUAAUCGUAUAUCAGCAAUGAUACGGUGAAUACGUUCCCGGGCCUUGUACACACCGC